ACGUUAUGUGGGCACUCUAAGGAGACUGCCGGUGACAAACCGGAGGAAGGUGGGGAUGACGUCAAGUCAUCAUGGCCCUUACGGCCUGGGCUACACACGUGCUACAAUGGUCGGUACAAAGGGUUGCCAAGCCGCGAGGUGGAGCUAAUCCCAUAAAACCGAUCGUAGUCCGGAUCGCAGUCUGCAACUCGACUGCGUGAAGUCGGAAUCGCUAGUAAUCGUGAAUCAGAAUGUCACGGUGAAUACGUUCCCGGGCCUU
RNAcentral lists this ribosomal RNA (259 nucleotides) under uncultured Pseudomonas sp. Its description in RNAcentral is "partial 16S ribosomal RNA". It matches the Rfam family "Bacterial small subunit ribosomal RNA", at positions 1123 to 1382 of the family's 1533-position model. The record is from RNAcentral. Lineage: Bacteria; Pseudomonadati; Pseudomonadota; Gammaproteobacteria; Pseudomonadales; Pseudomonadaceae.